AAUAAUCUACACCAGGCGUUACCUUCCAGACUUGUCUGAAGAAUCUGAUCCCAUGUAUACCAAGCCCCAAGACAAACGGUUAUGUCAGGUUUAGUGUUGGAAAUCAGCUUUGGUUGCUUCAUACGUUUCAAGGCAAGUGUGUAGUUGAUAGGUUGAUCUGCUUUAGCAUCUAUAGUGCUAUCUGCAAUCAGUAAAUCUAAAAUGGUGGUAGAGAUUGGUUAGAUAUUCAAGUUUAAAUCAAUAUAAGAUUAUAG
This 254-nucleotide long non-coding RNA is filed under the name Brassica rapa (field mustard). Its description in RNAcentral is "long non-coding RNA (BRAP_LNC007635)". The record is from RNAcentral. Lineage: Eukaryota; Viridiplantae; Streptophyta; Magnoliopsida; Brassicales; Brassicaceae.